Long non-coding RNA from Saccostrea cuccullata (small rock oyster), 384 nucleotides. RefSeq lists it as uncharacterized. NCBI's taxonomy places the organism in Eukaryota, Metazoa, Mollusca, Bivalvia, Ostreida, Ostreidae. The transcript has 3 exons. The record is from RefSeq and is a predicted model, not a curated record.
CAGUGGCCUUACUGCAAUGUGGCUCAUCAACCAUAAUAUUAGACAAAGGGUACAAAAAAUUCACUUAUCCUGGAUCUGAUUUAUAUCCCCAGAAUACAAGAUGCAAUUGGGUUUUUCAAGCAGCUGACUCAAGUUCCAGAAUAACAUUUGAAGUCAGCAAACUUUUUGUUGAUUGUGCUGACACACUUAAGUUUUAUGAUGGUUCAUCUUCGAGUGCAACAGCACUUACACCCACAAGUGUGUGUUGCUCGAGUACUAAUUCCUGUGGCUCAACAAGACCCCCACAAACGUCAACUGGAAAUACAAUCUUCGUAGAAUUUCAAUCUGACGAAAUACAGAACAUUUAUGAAAAUGGAUUUCAAGUAUCGUUUUUAACUGGAAAGG